AUGUUCGUCCACCGCUUUAUCGAUGAGCUAGGAGUACUGAGCAAUAAGCAACAAAGGCCCAGGAUAGCCACCGGGACCCCGGCGGGGCAACAACAAAGACCAAAAUGGCCACCACCAGGAUUUUGCAAAAUCCACGUCGAUGCUGCAAUUCGAUCACGUGGGGGUUCGGCGGCGGCGGUCUGCAGGGAUGAGAAUGGUAACUAUGUUGGAGGCUCGGCUCUGGUCAUCGAAGGAACCCUCGAUCCAGCCACUCUGGAAACGAUCGCAUGUCGCGAGGCAAUGGCGCUAGCGGAGGACCUCAGUAUCAGAGAGUUUGUUAUCGCAUCAGACUGCCGGCAGGUAAUCCAGGACAUCAACAUGGGUACACGAGGAGGAUAUGCGUCAAUUAUAAACGAGAUAAACCAUAGAGCUACUACCUUUCAUUGUAUUUUUACUUUCGAGAGUCGUGCUGCAAACUAUGAAGCACAUAACUUAGCUAAGUUUGCUUUGUCAAAAGGUCUGGGACGCCAUGUGUGGUUUGGCCAGCCCUAUGACCAGAGACGUAUCCUACUGCAUGUGGAUUUUGAUGAAUAA
This 573-nucleotide ribosomal RNA is filed under the name Triticum aestivum (bread wheat). RNAcentral's name for it is "partial small subunit ribosomal RNA". The record is from RNAcentral. Lineage: Eukaryota; Viridiplantae; Streptophyta; Magnoliopsida; Poales; Poaceae.